RNAcentral lists this ribosomal RNA (491 nucleotides) under uncultured bacterium. RNAcentral describes it as "partial 16S ribosomal RNA". It matches the Rfam family "Bacterial small subunit ribosomal RNA", at positions 30 to 506 of the family's 1533-position model. The record is from RNAcentral.
AGUGAACGCUGGCGGUAGGCCUAACACAUGCAAGUCGAACGGCAGCACAGUAAGAGCUUGCUCUUACGGGUGGCGAGUGGCGGACGGGUGAGGAAUACAUCGGAAUCUACUUUUUCGUGGGGGAUAACGUAGGGAAACUUACGCUAAUACCGCAUACGACCUACGGGUGAAAGCAGGGGAUCUUCGGACCUUGCGCGAUUGAAUGAGCCGAUGUCGGAUUAGCUAGUUGGCGGGGUAAAGGCCCACCAAGGCGACGAUCCGUAGCUGGUCUGAGAGGAUGAACACGCACUCGGGAAGUGAGACACGGCACAGACACCGAAGGGCGGCCGAAGGGGGGAAUAUUGGAAAAAGGGGGGAAGCUUGAACCAGCCAUACCGGGGGGGUGAAGAAGGCCUGCGGGUUGUAAAGCCCUUUUGUUGGGAAAAAAAAGCAGCAGGUUAAACCCCCGGUGUUUGGGGGGAACCAAAAGAAAAAGAACCGGCAAACUUGGG